This 360-nucleotide ribosomal RNA is filed under the name uncultured archaeon. RNAcentral's name for it is "bacterial SSU rRNA". It matches the Rfam family "Archaeal small subunit ribosomal RNA", at positions 516 to 876 of the family's 1478-position model. The record is from RNAcentral.
CGUCCGUAGCCGGUUUGGUACAUUCGUGGGUAAAUCAACCAGCUUAACUGGUUGAAUUCUGCGAGGACGGCCAGACUUGGGACCGGGAGAGGUGUGGGGUACUCUCAGGGUAGGGGUAAAAUCCUGUCAUCCUGAGAGGACCACCUGUUGCGAAGGCGCCACACUAGAACGGAUCCGACGGUCAGGGACGAAGCCUAGGGGCACGAACCGGAUUAGAUACCCGGGUAGUCCUAGGUGUAAACGCUGUGGACUUGAUGUUGGGGGUGCUCCGAGCGCUCUCAGUGCCGAAGCGAAGGUGAUAAGUCCACUGCCUGGGAAGUACGGUCGCAAGGCUGAAACUUAAAGGAAUUGGCGGGGGAG